CUGGGAUUCCCAUGCGCGUGGACGGUGGGUCAGAUGCUGUAGCCGCCAUCUGAAGCCGACGUGUGAAACUUCAGCUUCUUAGCAAGCUGGCACCAGGGAAAGGCAGGCUCCCAAUAGACAGCAAACACCUGAAACCGGUGAUCAGCAGCUUCCCGGUAAGAUCUCAGGAGCUGGGCGAGGGGGCUGGAGCAGGCACACUAAGAGGCAAAAUGGCAGAGUUUAACUGGUCUAUGGCCUUCAAGGGACCUGCGGCUGGUCAUGAAGAGCGCCUCAAGUGAGCACACGCACGACUGCGGCAAACGCACCACACACGCUCCCCUCCCGAGCGCCAGCAGGCCAUGGCACACGCAGACAGCCCACUCACGGGAGGAAUCUCGGGAGAAGGGAUGCGAGGCCCUGGAAGCAUGCCAACCUAUAAGAACCCAAGUCAGGCUGGGCGCGAGGGCUCAUGCCUGGAAUCCCAGCACUUUGGGAGGCCGAGGUGGGCGGAUCACGAGGUCAGGAGUUUGACACCAGUCUGGCCAACAUGGUGAAACCCUGUCUCUGCUAUAAAUACAAAAAAUAGCUGGGUGUGGUGGCGCAUGCCUGAAUCGUUUGAAUCCGGCAGGUGGAGGUUUCACUGAGCUGAGAUCCCGCCAUUGCACUCCAGCCUGGGUGACAGAACAAGACUCUGUCUCAAAAAACAAACAGCCCCAAGUCAAAGGUCAAACUGCAGACUUCUCUUUCGAGUUGCCUGCUUGGGCGUUUUCCAAGUGUACUUGCCUUCAUUUUGUUCCUGCUCUAAAG
RNAcentral lists this long non-coding RNA (786 nucleotides) under Homo sapiens (human). RNAcentral's name for it is "PREDICTED lncRNA (TCONS_00099894)". Lineage: Eukaryota; Metazoa; Chordata; Mammalia; Primates; Hominidae. The record is from RNAcentral.